RNAcentral lists this unclassified non-coding RNA (347 nucleotides) under Hevea brasiliensis (rubber tree). Lineage: Eukaryota; Viridiplantae; Streptophyta; Magnoliopsida; Malpighiales; Euphorbiaceae. The record is from RNAcentral.
AAAAAAUAAUAAUUCAUUACAUUCAAAAAAUGCCUAGGCCCAUUACAACAUAGAUCAACUCAAGUACACAUGAGCAAAUUCAACAACACUAUAACCUAGCCAUCAAGACUUGAACAUACUAAAAAGGGUCCUAACAAGCUGCCCAAGCCAGAACCCAAUACAAGAUAGCCCUAAGGCCCAAAUAGAAACAAACCCUAGUCUCCUAGCUUUGCUUGAGAGAGGAUCCAACAAGGUAGAGAAAGGAUCUAGGUAACUAAAGUUGCCACCCAUUAACCAACCACCCUUCUCUGAACUUCCUUGGCACUAAUACAUGCUGUCGAUUGCUUGCUCUAGGGAAGUUCAGAGAA